Molecule: ribosomal RNA, 844 nt
Filed under: Curtobacterium luteum
Lineage: Bacteria; Bacillati; Actinomycetota; Actinomycetes; Micrococcales; Microbacteriaceae
Description: bacterial SSU rRNA
Rfam family: Bacterial small subunit ribosomal RNA
Source: RNAcentral
CAUGCAAGUCGAACGAUGAAGCCCAGCUUGCUGGGUGGAUUAGUGGCGAACGGGUGAGUAACACGUGAGUAACCUGCCCCUGACUCUGGGAUAAGCGUUGGAAACGACGUCUAAUACUGGAUAUGACUACUGGUCGCAUGGCCUGGUGGUGGAAAGAUUUUUUGGUUGGGGAUGGACUCGCGGCCUAUCAGCUUGUUGGUGAGGUAAUGGCUCACCAAGGCGACGACGGGUAGCCGGCCUGAGAGGGUGACCGGCCACACUGGGACUGAGACACGGCCCAGACUCCUACGGGAGGCAGCAGUGGGGAAUAUUGCACAAUGGGCGAAAGCCUGAUGCAGCAACGCCGCGUGAGGGAUGACGGCCUUCGGGUUGUAAACCUCUUUUAGUAGGGAAGAAGCGAAAGUGACGGUACCUGCAGAAAAAGCACCGGCUAACUACGUGCCAGCAGCCGCGGUAAUACGUAGGGUGCAAGCGUUGUCCGGAAUUAUUGGGCGUAAAGAGCUCGUAGGCGGUUUGUCGCGUCUGCUGUGAAAUCCCGAGGCUCAACCUCGGGCUUGCAGUGGGUACGGGCAGACUAGAGUGCGGUAGGGGAGAUUGGAAUUCCUGGUGUAGCGGUGGAAUGCGCAGAUAUCAGGAGGAACACCGAUGGCGAAGGCAGAUCUCUGGGCCGUAACUGACGCUGAGGAGCGAAAGCGUGGGGAGCGAACAGGAUUAGAUACCCUGGUAGUCCACGCCGUAAAACGUUGGGCGCUAGAUGUAGGGACCUUUCCACGGUUUCUGUGUCGUAGCUAACGCAUUAAGCGCCCCGCCUGGGGAGUACGGCCGCAAGGCUAAAACUCAAAGG